This 588-nucleotide ribosomal RNA is filed under the name uncultured bacterium. RNAcentral's name for it is "bacterial SSU rRNA". It matches the Rfam family "Bacterial small subunit ribosomal RNA", at positions 338 to 918 of the family's 1533-position model. The record is from RNAcentral.
CCUACGGGAGGCAGCAGUGGGGAAUUUUGGACAAUGGGGGCAACCCUGAUCCAGCCAUGCCGCGUGAGUGAAGAAGGCCUUCGGGUUGUAAAGCUCUUUCGGCGGGGAAGAAAUGGCAACGGCUAAUAUCCGUUGUUGAUGACGUACCCGCAUAAGAAGCACCGGCUAACUACGUGCCAGCAGCCGCGGUAAUACGUAGGGUGCGAGCGUUAAUCGGAAUUACUGGGCGUAAAGCGUGCGCAGGCGGUUUCGUAAGACAGACGUGAAAUCCCCGGGCUCAACCUGGGAACUGCGUUUGUGACUGCGAGGCUAGAGUACGGCAGAGGGGGGUAGAAUUCCACGUGUAGCAGUGAAAUGCGUAGAGAUGUGGAGGAAUACCGAUGGCGAAGGCAGCCCCCUGGGUUAGUACUGACGCUCAUGCACGAAAGCGUGGGGAGCAAACAGGAUUAGAUACCCUGGUAGUCCACGCCCUAAACGAUGUCAACUAGGUGUUGGAAGGGUUAAACCUUUUAGUACCGCAGCUAACGCGUGAAGUUGACCGCCUGGGGAGUACGGCCGCAAGGUUAAAACUCAAAGGAAUUGACGGGG